GACGAACGCUGGCGGCGUGCUUAACACAUGCAUGUCGAACGGAAAGGCCCUGCUUUUGUGGGGUGCUCGAGUGGCGAACGGGUGAGUAACACGUGAGUAACCUGCCCUUGACUUUGGGAUAACUUCAGGAAACUGGGGCUAAUACCGGAUAGGAGCUCCUGCUGCAUGGUGGGGGUUGGAAAGUUUCGGCGGUUGGGGAUGGACUCGCGGCUUAUCAGCUUGUUGGUGGGGUAGUGGCUUACCAAGGCUUUGACGGGUAGCCGGCCUGAGAGGGUGACCGGCCACAUUGGGACUGAGAUACGGCCCAGACUCCUACGGGAGGCAGCAGUGGGGAAUAUUGCACAAUGGGCGGAAGCCUGAUGCAGCAACGCCGCGUGCGGGAUGACGGCCUUCGGGUUGUAAACCGCUUUCGCCUGUGACGAAGCGUGAGUGACGGUAAUGGAUAAAGAAGCACCGGCUAACUACGUG
RNAcentral lists this ribosomal RNA (468 nucleotides) under uncultured bacterium. Its description in RNAcentral is "partial 16S ribosomal RNA". It matches the Rfam family "Bacterial small subunit ribosomal RNA", at positions 28 to 507 of the family's 1533-position model. The record is from RNAcentral.